GUUUGAAUUGUGUAAGUUUAUUGGUUUUGAUGCUUGACUUGGAUUUUUAUCGUUUAAGUUGAUUGCUUGAAGCUUGCUUCUUUCAUUUUUAAUGUGAAUUUAAUAUUUUCUAUUGCAAUAGCUUCCUUACAAUUGGAUAAUUGUCAUUGAAUUAGGAAAAAAUGGGGAAAAAAAUAGAGCCUUUAUGUUCUGUGUUUAGUGGAUCUAACGUGUGGACUUUUGGAGCCAAUUGAUU
Molecule: unclassified non-coding RNA, 235 nt
Filed under: Hevea brasiliensis (rubber tree)
Lineage: Eukaryota; Viridiplantae; Streptophyta; Magnoliopsida; Malpighiales; Euphorbiaceae
Source: RNAcentral